AUGUGGAUGUCAGACACACACAACGUGAGUCACGCUGACAUAGCUGGGAUGCCUGGAUUGCGAUGGAAUCUCAGAGGUACCAAUCGCAGGCCAGAGAGAUGCCAUUGGCUAGAGGAAACAAUGCCAGAGUGUUCCCAUCUCUGCAGAAGGCAGGGUGUUGAUGGUGUCGGGCAUGAUGACUGCAGCCAGGGGAGGACGACAGCCCUGAAGCAGGAUGGGCACAGGUUGGAGACUAUACAGUAAAACUGGCUCAUACCAGGAUUGAUGUGGAAAAUUCCCGGAGAUGCCAAAGCACCAGUAUCCACUUGACUACAUCUCCAGUCCUGGAUAGUAAGACCAGGUGCCCCAUGGUGACCUCAAGUCAGAAGAAUUCCCUAACUGAGAUCACCAAGAAGGUUGCAUUCAUUUCUCUGUGCUUGCCAAAAUAGGAAAGUCGUCUCUUGGUUUUGAGAGAUUUUUUGUAUGAAGCAUUGAAACAAAGAGUUGGGUUUUUUUGUUUUUUUUAAGUUAACUUCUAGCUCGUAAAAACGAUGUUUGGAAGAACUCCUGCAAAUGCUACAUGCCUUGGUCAUUUGACUUUUUACUGUAACAAGCAAAUCGGAAGCCAUAAAUAAAUUGGGGAAAAGGGUAUACACUUCACCAAAAGAUUCGUUGCUUAUCUAAACACUUCAUCUUGGUACUUCCUUAAAUUGCGGGCACUUCUGGUACAUUUUCAAUGGGUUCAUUCACUUGCGAGUGAACUUUAUAUAUGCCAUUCAGAAAAUCUGGUGAAGUAACUAACAUUCUGAGGAGUGGACAUUUCAUAAAUCACUUUCCUUGAUGUAAGAUGAAAAAAGUGACACCCGCUUGAAUGCAUUCACUUAUUUCCUAUAUGGUAAGAUGCAACAUGUACAAAAAAUGGUUCUGGUCGCCAUAGAAAUGUAAGGAGCUGGCUAUUAAAAUCUGUCUUUGCAAGGGUAAAAAAAAAAAAAAAUUGAUGGCGUGUACCCGAUUUUGAAAUACUUAAAAAUUGCAUCGUGUUAAAGCUAAAAGGGGCAUUUGUAUCUCUUUUCCUCACUUUAAAGAUGAGGAGAGAACAGCCUGGAAAAAAUUAAGUGCCUUGGUCACAUUGAAAGGCUUUGUCUGUGGCAGGCUGUCCAAUUUCAAGUUUUUUUCCCAUUACCAUGCAUCUCCUUUGUAUCCAAACUAUCUGGCAGUCCCUGGUUAGGACUAUUUGGUCCUCAGCUGCUGUCAUGAAUGCUUACUCAUUCCUUGAUUCCACUUUUGUAUUUUUUUUCCUUCUAUUAUUGAAAAAUUUCAAACAUAAAGUAGAGAAUAUAAUAUAAAUAACUCCCAUGUGCCCCUCACUCAGCUUCUACAAUUAUUAACAUAUGACCAAUCUUCUUUUAUCUGUACCUAUCCUCAGCUCUCCCUCCUGCCCAGAUGAAUUUAAGGCUAAUCCGAACAUCAUGUAAUAUAAUCUAUAAAUACCCCAUGUGUAACUGUAUACGAACCCUCUCAUAUCUAUAUCUAUAUCUACAGUGAUUACAACUAACAAAAAUUAACGAUAAGUCCUUGAUAUCAUCAAAUUCCUGAAGUUUUCUGUUCACAUUUCUGUGUGUGUGGGUGUAUGUGUGUGUGUGAGUCUUUGUCUUUUGCAAUUGAUUUGUUAGAAUCAGGAUCUAAACAAAGCUGGAAAUCAUGUUUCAGGUAUCAGGUGGAAUGAUCAGCUGAUCAUUCAAAGUUCUUGCCAUGGAAUGUUUGCAAACUAGGAGGAAUAAAUAACAUACUAAGA
Mustela putorius furo (domestic ferret) is the source of this 1774-nucleotide long non-coding RNA. The record is from Ensembl. NCBI's taxonomy places the organism in Eukaryota, Metazoa, Chordata, Mammalia, Carnivora, Mustelidae.